This 630-nucleotide ribosomal RNA is filed under the name uncultured Planctomycetota bacterium. RNAcentral describes it as "bacterial SSU rRNA". It matches the Rfam family "Bacterial small subunit ribosomal RNA", at positions 8 to 655 of the family's 1533-position model. The record is from RNAcentral. Lineage: Bacteria; Pseudomonadati; Planctomycetota.
AGAGUUUGAUCAUGGCUCAGAAUGAACGUUGGCGGCGUGGAUUAGGCAUGCAAGUCGAGCGAGAAGUUUUAAAAAGAUACCUCGGUUGAUUUUUAAGAUGGACAGCGGCGAAAGGGAGAGUAACGAGUAGAUACGUACCCAGGGGUUCGGAAUAGCGGGGGGAAACCGCCGGUAAUGCCGAAUAAUGUCUCCGGACCAAAGAUUUAUUGCCCUUGGAUCGGUCUGCUUACUAUUAGCUUGUUGGUGGGGUAAUAGCCUACCAAGGCGAAGAUGGUUAGCGGGUGUGAGAGCAUGGCCCGUCUCACUGGGACUGAGACACUGCCCAGACACCUGCGGGUGGCUGCAGUCGAGAAUCUUCCGCAAUGGACGAAAGUCUGACGGAGCGACGCCGCGUGCGGGAUGAAGGCCUUCGGGUUGUAAACCGCUGUCAGAGGGGAGCAAAUUUUGAGCGAUCCUCAGAGGAAGCACAGGCUAAGUUCGUGCCAGCAGCCGCGGUAAUACGAACUGUGCGAACGUUAUUCGGAAUCACUGGGCUUAAAGGGUGCGUAGGCGGGUUUAAAGGUCUGAUGUGAAAGCCCACGGCUCAACCGUGGAAUUGCGUUGGAAACCAUGAACCUUGAGGAGAUCAGA